Molecule: ribosomal RNA, 251 nt
Filed under: uncultured Staphylococcus sp.
Lineage: Bacteria; Bacillati; Bacillota; Bacilli; Caryophanales; Staphylococcaceae
Description: partial 16S ribosomal RNA
Rfam family: Bacterial small subunit ribosomal RNA
Source: RNAcentral
ACGUUAGCGGCGGACGGGUGAGUAACACGUGGGUAACCUACCUAUAAGACUGGGAUAACUCCGGGGAACCGGGGCUAAUACCGGAUAACACAUGAAACCGCAUGGUUUCAUGAUGAAAGACGGUUUUGCUGUCACUUAUAGAUGGACCCGCGGCGUAUUAGCUAGUUGGUAAGGUAACGGCUUACCAAGGCAACGAUACGUAGCCGACCUGAGAGGGUGAUCGGCCACACUGGAACUGAGACACGGUCCAG